AACGAACGCUGGCGGCGUGCUUAACACAUGCAAGUCGAACGAGAAAGUUUCCUUCGGGAAACGAGUAGAGUGGCGCACGGGUGAGUAACGCGUAGGUAAUCUACCCUAAUAUUUGGGAUAACAUUGGGAAACUGGUGCUAAUACCGGAUACCCUUCUUUUCUGCUGGGUUAAGGAGGAAAGGUGGCCUCUUCAUGAAAGCUACCGUAUAAGGAUGAGCCUGCGUACCAUUAGCUAGUAGGUGGGGUAAUGGCCCACCUAGGCUACGAUGGUUAGCGGGUCUGAGAGGAUGAUCCGCCACACUGGAACUGGAACACGGACCAGACUCCUACGGGAGGCAGCAGUGAGGAAUAUUGCGCAAUGGGCGAAAGCCUGACGCAGCGACACCGCGUGAGGGAAGAAGGCCUUCGGGUCGUAAACCUCUGUCAGGGGGGAAGAAAUGCCAGUCGGCUAAUAUCCGGCCGGUUUGACGUACCCCCUAAGAAGCAU
RNAcentral lists this ribosomal RNA (487 nucleotides) under uncultured bacterium. RNAcentral describes it as "bacterial SSU rRNA". It matches the Rfam family "Bacterial small subunit ribosomal RNA", at positions 29 to 493 of the family's 1533-position model. The record is from RNAcentral.